AGAGGAGGAAAAAGUGACGGAAAAACUAGCAAAAAUUGAAAUAUAAAGAGACAGUACUUCUUCUUCUUCUUUCUUGUCCUUGUCUUUCUCUCUAAUUCUCUCUCUCUCUCUCUUCCU
RNAcentral lists this non-coding RNA (117 nucleotides) under Polytomella parva. The record is from RNAcentral. Lineage: Eukaryota; Viridiplantae; Chlorophyta; Chlorophyceae; Chlamydomonadales; Chlamydomonadaceae.